CGGCUUCCGUUCGGCGUGGCGUUGCGUGCUCAGYGCUCGCGCAGAGCCGUUGGGAUGCCACCAGGGCUGAGAGGCGGUGGCAGGGCACCGAAAACCCCCGGGGCCUAAUACUGGCCACUUUUCAAGUGCAGCUGAACAGGAGAAGAGUGACUCAGACGAGGGGAGACUUACAGGUCAACAAGGCAACAGGGUGAAGCAUCACCCCCCGUCCUCACUACGGGGAAGGAGGAAGAGAGCAAGUGAGAAUUGGGGAAGUGGUGCAAGUUGGCAGAAGAGAUCUAGCCAUCUGUUACCAUCAACUUCAAGUGAGAAGCAGCCACCAUUUUGAAGGCAGAUGCUUCAAAAAGUGAGAGUAUCUACCCCUCAAUUACUUGGGCAGAAACCUGCCUCAAAACCAGCGUGCAAGGCCAACAUAUGAACUGAAACCUCUUUGUACCUCCUGUAGGAUCGAGUAAAAUGGGCUAAUAGCUGCAAAAUUCCAGAUAUUCCUGCUUACGUCAUCAGCGAGGCUGGUGCAUAAAACAGCGAGCUCAGGCUGAUUUAGGGAGUCACCUAUUCACUUGUGAAGAAUGCAGAUUUCUGUAGCCUGAUCGGGUAGCGAGAGCCGAGUUGCUUCGUCUCACUUUAUUUUCCCGAGGGAGAAACGGCAUCGUUGGCACGGACCUCCGAGGCAGCCCUGGACUGAAGGAGCAAGAGCUGUUAAAUCAAGCYGUGGGCACGCUAGCAGAGCUGCAGGGAUCUCCAAAACCUUUGCUAGCUCCUUGCUACCCGGCCCAUAAACUUACAAAACGUACAAAAUAAAAAAAAAAUAAAACUCCUUAAAAGUCCUGCU
This 832-nucleotide long non-coding RNA is filed under the name Dromaius novaehollandiae (emu). RNAcentral's name for it is "lncRNA (ENSDNVG00000014778.1)". Lineage: Eukaryota; Metazoa; Chordata; Aves; Casuariiformes; Dromaiidae. The record is from RNAcentral.